Molecule: long non-coding RNA, 4003 nt
Filed under: Homo sapiens (human)
Lineage: Eukaryota; Metazoa; Chordata; Mammalia; Primates; Hominidae
Description: HSALNT0200791
Source: RNAcentral
ACUCAGGAGGCCGAGGCACAAGAAUCGCUUAAACCCAGGAGGCGGAGGUUGCAGUGAGCCAAGAUCAUGCCACUGCACUCCAGCCUGGACAACAGGGCGAGAUUCUGUUUCAAAAAAAAAAAGAUACUACCAGAGACUGGGUAAUUUAUAAAUAAAGGAGGUUUAAUUGACUCAGUGUUCUGUCUGGCUAGGGAAGCCUCAGGACACUUACGAUCAUGGCAGAAGGGGAGGAAACCACCUUCUUCACAUGGUGGAAGGAGAGAGAUGGGCAAAGGAGGAACUCCCAAACACUUAUAAAAACCAUCAGAUCUUGUGAGAACUCACUCACUGUCAUGAGAACAGCAUGGGGAAAAUACUGUCCCAUGAAACAAUCACCUCCCUUUCUUUACAUGUGGGGAUUGCAGGUCCCUCCCUCCACAUGUGGGGAUUACAAUUUGAGAUGAGAUUUGGGUGGGGACACAGAACCAAACCAUAUCACCCAUGUUGCAACUUAAUAAACUGAAGCACUGUGUGGUUAAGUAGUUGCAAUUGUUAAUAGCUAAGCUAGAACUUGAACACUGGUGGUCUGGCUGUAAAUGCAGCACUCUUUCUACUACGGCAACUCACCCAGGCAAGUUAUUUUAUAUUUUUAUGACAAACCAUCCUCCCACAUCCAACCCUUUAUCUGGGUGUAAAGAAGGGAUUGUGGUAAAGAUCUUGAUUGAAAUAUACCUCUGACCCCUUAUUUGAAGAGAUAAAAAGGGAAGAUGAAUUAGAAAAGGGGGAGGGAAAAUAUGCAGUGAUUAAAAGGUGGGCUUUAUUUUAAAUUUCCUUUUCUUUCAAGUUUUAUAUUUAAUACUUCAGUGUGUUUGCUUCAAAACAGGUUACCAAGCAACGGCUUCAGGCAAAUCACCUCAGAUCUGCUCUCCAUUCCCCCAGGGUUGUGGGGGUCCGAAGCACAAGCAGAUGUCUGGAGGGAGCUAUUACUCACAUCCUCCCCUUCUUAAUUUCCCCUUCUUAAUUUCGCUCGGUGGCAGUAGCAGCAGUCACAGACCAAUCUCUAUCACUUCAGGAAAGAAGGGGGCAGAAACAGGAAAGAAUUAAGGUUGCUGCAGAUCCACAGAGAUUCACUGCUGGUAACAUACUUUGGUGCCACAUGACUCGGAUGCAUUCUGCCGCUAAAAAAAGGACUUCAUAGAAGUUUGCAAGCAAGGAGCUACAACAAAGAUGAUGCCCAAAGGUAAUGCCUUAAACAUGAGCAUAGCAGGUCAGAGAAGAUUCCAGCUCCAGUAUUCCAAGGUUAGACAUGAUAAGAACACUGUAUGCUAUUACAAAACUUAAGCCCAUGUUUCUAGAGAUGAUACCUGCAUUCAGCCCUGGCAUUGCUAUCUCUAUAGCCAGAGCACAAAUCCACUCCUCGGGGUAAGCCUAUAGAAUUCUCCAGUCAAACGCACAGUUACAACCCUUCUUCACCAUUUGCUAAAGGAAUCUCUUCUAACCCACAAGCUCUGGAGAUAACAGUGAGGAUGAGAGCAGCCAGACCCGGUGAAACUGAGAAUUUUUUCUCCUUCGACAGCUUUUCUAAUCACCACUGAUCCUGCUGUUCAAGGAUUUCUGAGCUAGCGGAGCAGAAAGCCCCAGAAUCCCAAGAAGCCUCCUUUCUCAGUGUCUGGGCCACUGAACUUCUCUAGACCUCAUCUCAUUACCGAGGCCCAAGGAGCUCAGGGGCUCGCCUGAGGGCUUCCUCUCAGAUCACCUCGCUCAUUCUCUAGAGCAUAAAAAAAAACCUGCUGAUUUUAAUUUACUUGUAGAGUGUGUUCUCCUGGCUCAUUUUCACCCAGAGUAAACCUAGAAAAGUAACAUCAACUAGUUAAUUCACUUUUUCAUUAACUCAACAGACACUUUUCAGUCUUACUCUGCACAGGAUGCUCUGUUAGGUUUUAUGAAGGGUGGGGCAUGGAGACAGGGAUCUCUGGGAAUGUGGAAGGGAGGGCAUUCAGAGGCUGACAUGUGGUGGCUGCCAUGGAACUCUGCCUCCCACCCUGCUCUAGGAGUUCACUGGGGCAAGAGUGUGAAGAAGGUAGGAGGAUCCAGUGUCUUUGGGGGCAAAUACUACAGGAUGAAGGGACUGUGAGGGAGGCUUGGAGAAGUCAGUUUUAAGCCACUUUUUAUUUUACUUUUUGUAUUGCUCCUUUUAUUCAGGUACUUUUUUCUCUUCCUUAGUAAUUUGAUAUUCAGGGGUACAUGUGCAGGUUUGUUACACAGGUAAACUUGUGUCAUGGGGGUUUGUUGUACAGAUUAUUUCAUCAUCCAGGUGUUAAGCCUAGUACCAUUAAUUAUUUUUCCUGAUCCUCUCCGUCCUCUCACUCUCCACCCUCCAGUAGACCCCAGUGUGUAUUGUUCCCCAGCCAUUUCUGCUGGGUGAACACAUUUCCCCUCUAUGUGUUCAUGUGUUCUCAUCAUUUAGCUCCAACCUAUAAGUGAGAACAUGCUGUACUUGGUUUUCUGUUCCUGUGUUAGCUUGCUACGGAUAAUGGCCUCCAGUUCCAUCCAUGUCUUUGCAAAUGACACGAUCUCAUUCUUUUUAUGGCUGCAUAGUAUUCCAUGGUGUAUAUGCACCUCAUCUUCUUUGUCCAGACUAUCACUAAUGGGCAUUUAGGUUGACUCCAUGUCUUUGUUAUUGUGAAUAGUGCUGAAGUGAGCAUAUGCAUGAGUCUUUAUCACAGAACAAUUUAUAUUCCUUUGGGUAUAUACCCAGUAAUGGGAUUGCUAGGUGGAAUGUCAUUUCUUUCUUUAGGUCUUUGGGGAAUCGCUACACUGUCUUCCACGAUGGUUGAACUAGUUUACACUUCCACCAACAGUGUAUAAGUGUUCCUUUUCCUGCACAUCCUCACCAGCAUGAUAUUUUUUGAUUUUUUAAUAAUAGCCAUUCUGCUUGGUAUGAGAUAAUAUAUCAUUGUGGUUUUUAUUUGCAUUUCUCCAAUGAUUAGUGAUGUUAAGCUUUUUUAAAAAAAUGAUUGUUGACCAUAUGUAUGUCUUCUUUUGAAAAGUGUGUUUAUAUCCUUGCCCACUUUUUAAUGGAGUUGUUUGGCUUUUUUUCUUGUAAAUUUGUUUAAGUUCCUUAUAGAUGUUGGAUAUUAGAUCCUUUGUUGGAUGCAUAGUUUGCAAAAACUUUCUCCUAUUCUAUAGGUUGUCUGUUCACUCUGUUGAUAGUUUGUUUUGCUGUGCAGGAGCUCUUUAGUUUAAUUAGAUCCCAUUUGUCAAUUUUUGCUUUUGUUGCAAUUGCUUUUGUAAGCCAAUUUUUAUAUCAUUUUCCAAACAGCCACCCUCCUCCUAACUUUGGACAGAGCUUACUCCAGAAGACAGUCUUGGAGUAGAACACCAUGGACCAAGUACUUGCCGAGCAUGCCCACUGCCCUCGAUUGUACAUGUGCAAAUACUUUCUUUGCCUAUUCAGAAAUUAGCAGAAACUGUUGAAUAAAGGGAUAAAGGAGGUGAGAAUACUGGUCCUUUAUCAGAGAAUGAAAUAAGCAAAAAGACAAAAUCAGAAAAGUAGAAAAGCAGAAAAUGACUGUGUUCCUUUGUUCUUGCCUCUUUUUUCCCCCCAAAAAGGGAGGAUGCACCACUCUCUCCAUUUUCUAAGAAAAGAAGUAAAAACUGAGCGGAUAACUCAUGUGCCUUCUAAGGAUAGUGCCAGCAAGAAUAGAACGCAGACCUCUUUCUCUGAAAUUUUGAUUUGCAUGAAUUCCUCAUCUUCACCUUGAGAAAGGUUCUCUUUCCCAUCUAAGCCUCAGAGUAAGAUACGUUUGGGCUCUGAUUUUUGCAUAGCAUCUGUUCCUAAGUGAGAAUGGCCACUGGAGUUUGGAAACCAGAAAGCAAGAGAAAUGGUGUCAAGGGACACAAAACUGUUUAAAAAGGGAAAAACCACCAAAUCUCUCCCUCAAUCUCUCUCUCUGCUCUCACACACACAGAUGCUCAAUAUUGGCAAUGUUAAUAUAUCUUCUGAAGAGACAGAAAUGAAUAA